GCGGGAUUAGCUCAGCUGGUUAGAGCGUCAGUUUGUGGUACUGAAUGUCGCGCGUUCGAAUCGCGUAUCUCGCCCCA
RNAcentral lists this transfer RNA (77 nucleotides) under Rickettsiales bacterium. RNAcentral's name for it is "tRNA-His". It matches the Rfam family "tRNA". From Rfam's summary of the family: Transfer RNA (tRNA) molecules are approximately 80 nucleotides in length. Their secondary structure includes four short double-helical elements and three loops (D, anti-codon, and T loops). The record is from RNAcentral. Lineage: Bacteria; Pseudomonadati; Pseudomonadota; Alphaproteobacteria; Rickettsiales.